RNAcentral lists this ribosomal RNA (2925 nucleotides) under Escherichia coli. RNAcentral's name for it is "partial 23S ribosomal RNA". It matches the Rfam family "Bacterial large subunit ribosomal RNA". The record is from RNAcentral. Lineage: Bacteria; Pseudomonadati; Pseudomonadota; Gammaproteobacteria; Enterobacterales; Enterobacteriaceae.
GGGUUGUGAGGUUAAGCGACUAAGCGUACACGGUGGAUGCCCUGGCAGUCAGAGGCGAUGAAGGACGUGCUAAUCUGCGAUAAGCGUCGGUAAGGUGAUAUGAACCGUUAUAACCGGCGAUUUCCGAAUGGGGAAACCCAGUGUGAUUCGUCACACUAUCAUUAACUGAAUCCAUAGGUUAAUGAGGCGAACCGGGGGAACUGAAACAUCUAAGUACCCCGAGGAAAAGAAAUCAACCGAGAUUCCCCCAGUAGCGGCGAGCGAACGGGGAGCAGCCCAGAGCCUGAAUCAGUGUGUGUGUUAGUGGAAGCGUCUGGAAAGGCGCGCGAUACAGGGUGACAGCCCCGUACACAAAAAUGCACAUGCUGUGAGCUCGAUGAGUAGGGCGGGACACGUGGUAUCCUGUCUGAAUAUGGGGGGACCAUCCUCCAAGGCUAAAUACUCCUGACUGACCGAUAGUGAACCAGUACCGUGAGGGAAAGGCGAAAAGAACCCCGGCGAGGGGAGUGAAAAAGAACCUGAAACCGUGUACGUACAAGCAGUGGGAGCACGCUUAGGCGUGUGACUGCGUACCUUUUGUAUAAUGGGUCAGCGACUUAUAUUCUGUAGCAAGGUUAACCGAAUAGGGGAGCCGAAGGGAAACCGAGUCUUAACUGGGCGUUAAGUUGCAGGGUAUAGACCCGAAACCCGGUGAUCUAGCCAUGGGCAGGUUGAAGGUUGGGUAACACUAACUGGAGGACCGAACCGACUAAUGUUGAAAAAUUAGCGGAUGACUUGUGGCUGGGGGUGAAAGGCCAAUCAAACCGGGAGAUAGCUGGUUCUCCCCGAAAGCUAUUUAGGUAGCGCCUCGUGAAUUCAUCUCCGGGGGUAGAGCACUGUUUCGGCAAGGGGGUCAUCCCGACUUACCAACCCGAUGCAAACUGCGAAUACCGGAGAAUGUUAUCACGGGAGACACACGGCGGGUGCUAACGUCCGUCGUGAAGAGGGAAACAACCCAGACCGCCAGCUAAGGUCCCAAAGUCAUGGUUAAGUGGGAAACGAUGUGGGAAGGCCCAGACAGCCAGGAUGUUGGCUUAGAAGCAGCCAUCAUUUAAAGAAAGCGUAAUAGCUCACUGGUCGAGUCGGCCUGCGCGGAAGAUGUAACGGGGCUAAACCAUGCACCGAAGCUGCGGCAGCGACGCUGAUGCGUUGUUGGGUAGGGGAGCGUUCUGUAAGCCUGCGAAGGUGUGCUGUGAGGCAUGCUGGAGGUAUCAGAAGUGCGAAUGCUGACAUAAGUAACGAUAAAGCGGGUGAAAAGCCCGCUCGCCGGAAGACCAAGGGUUCCUGUCCAACGUUAAUCGGGGCAGGGUGAGUCGACCCCUAAGGCGAGGCCGAAAGGCGUAGUCGAUGGGAAACAGGUUAAUAUUCCUGUACUUGGUGUUACUGCGAAGGGGGGACGGAGAAGGCUAUGUUGGCCGGGCGACGGUUGUCCCGGUUUAAGCGUGUAGGCUGGUUUUCCAGGCAAAUCCGGAAAAUCAAGGCUGAGGCGUGAUGACGAGGCACUACGGUGCUGAAGCAACAAAUGCCCUGCUUCCAGGAAAAGCCUCUAAGCAUCAGGUAACAUCAAAUCGUACCCCAAACCGACACAGGUGGUCAGGUAGAGAAUACCAAGGCGCUUGAGAGAACUCGGGUGAAGGAACUAGGCAAAAUGGUGCCGUAACUUCGGGAGAAGGCACGCUGAUAUGUAGGUGAAGCGACUUGCUCGUGGAGCUGAAAUCAGUCGAAGAUACCAGCUGGCUGCAACUGUUUAUUAAAAACACAGCACUGUGCAAACACGAAAGUGGACGUAUACGGUGUGACGCCUGCCCGGUGCCGGAAGGUUAAUUGAUGGGGUUAGCGCAAGCGAAGCUCUUGAUCGAAGCCCCGGUAAACGGCGGCCGUAACUAUAACGGUCCUAAGGUAGCGAAAUUCCUUGUCGGGUAAGUUCCGACCUGCACGAAUGGCGUAAUGAUGGCCAGGCUGUCUCCACCCGAGACUCAGUGAAAUUGAACUCGCUGUGAAGAUGCAGUGUACCCGCGGCAAGACGGAAAGACCCCGUGAACCUUUACUAUAGCUUGACACUGAACAUUGAGCCUUGAUGUGUAGGAUAGGUGGGAGGCUUUGAAGUGUGGACGCCAGUCUGCAUGGAGCCGACCUUGAAAUACCACCCUUUAAUGUUUGAUGUUCUAACGUUGACCCGUAAUCCGGGUUGCGGACAGUGUCUGGUGGGUAGUUUGACUGGGGCGGUCUCCUCCUAAAGAGUAACGGAGGAGCACGAAGGUUGGCUAAUCCUGGUCGGACAUCAGGAGGUUAGUGCAAUGGCAUAAGCCAGCUUGACUGCGAGCGUGACGGCGCGAGCAGGUGCGAAAGCAGGUCAUAGUGAUCCGGUGGUUCUGAAUGGAAGGGCCAUCGCUCAACGGAUAAAAGGUACUCCGGGGAUAACAGGCUGAUACCGCCCAAGAGUUCAUAUCGACGGCGGUGUUUGGCACCUCGAUGUCGGCUCAUCACAUCCUGGGGCUGAAGUAGGUCCCAAGGGUAUGGCUGUUCGCCAUUUAAAGUGGUACGCGAGCUGGGUUUAGAACGUCGUGAGACAGUUCGGUCCCUAUCUGCCGUGGGCGCUGGAGAACUGAGGGGGGCUGCUCCUAGUACGAGAGGACCGGAGUGGACGCAUCACUGGUGUUCGGGUUGUCAUGCCAAUGGCACUGCCCGGUAGCUAAAUGCGGAAGAGAUAAGUGCUGAAAGCAUCUAAGCACGAAACUUGCCCCGAGAUGAGUUCUCCCUGACUCCUUGAGAGUCCUGAAGGAACGUUGAAGACGACGACGUUGAUAGGCCGGGUGUGUAAGCGCAGCGAUGCGUUGAGCUAACCGGUACUAAUGAACCGUGAGGCUUAACCUUACAACGCCGAAG